RNAcentral lists this ribosomal RNA (370 nucleotides) under uncultured organism. Its description in RNAcentral is "bacterial SSU rRNA". It matches the Rfam family "Bacterial small subunit ribosomal RNA", at positions 526 to 896 of the family's 1533-position model. The record is from RNAcentral.
CGAGGGGAGCUAGCGUUGUUCGGAAUUACUGGGCGUAAAGGGCGCGUAGGCGGUUUUGUAAGUCAGAUGUGAAAGCCCCGGGCUUAACCUGGGAGGUGCAUUUGAAACUGCAAGGCUUGAGAUCGAGAGAGGAAAGUGGAAUUACGAGUGUAGAGGUGAAAUUCGUAGAUAUUCGUAAGAACACCAGUGGCGAAGGCGACUUUCUGGCUCGAUACUGACGCUAAGGCGCGAAAGCGUGGGGAGCAAACAGGAUUAGAUACCCUGGUAGUCCACGCUGUAAACGAUGAGUGCUAGAUGUUGGUGGGGAGACCCAUCAGUGUCGCAGCUAACGCAUUAAGCACUCCGCCUGGGGAGUACGGUCGCAAGAUUA